CUUCUGAGUCUCAAGGGGGGUGUAUUGAGGUCUUUCAUUCCCACAUUUCUUUUUUGUGAAGUUUCAAUCCUAAAAUUUAUGGUCCCUCUUGUUGUUUAAGAGCUUGGUACUGCUGUGUGAGAACCAGGGCCUGGGUGAUAGAUAGGCGUUCCUUAAUGAACAUCAUAAGGCAAUUUAAAAUACAGGGGCCAAAAGUAAGUAACAGUAACAAAAUAACCAGAGGACCUAGUAUGGUAGAAAUCAGGGUGGUCAGCCAGGGGGACCCAUUGAACCAGCUCUCAAACCAACCCUGUUGAGAUUCCCGGUCUCUCCGGCGUUGGUUGAGUCUUUCCCUAAGUUUUGCCAUGGAAUCUUGUAUGACCCCAGAAUGGUUAACAUAGAAACAACAUUCUUCUUUGAGGGCGGCACAGAGCCCACCUUCCUUAAGAAAAAGGAGGUCGAGACCUCUUCGGUUUUGUAAGGCAACCUCAGCCAGGGAAGCAACAGACAAUUCUAAUUUAGUAAUAGAGCCCUCAACCUCUUGGAUAUCUUCCUCGAUGGCUAGUUUUAAUUCUGAGUAUCCUUGGGACCCUUGAACCAGUGCAGCCACUCCUGUGCCUAGGCAUUCCGGCUGCCAUUCCUGCCCCCCAUAGGAGGGCUAGGGUAAGUGAUAUAGGCUCUCUCUUGUACCUUAAUGGGAUUCCCUCAUAAACUUGUUCCAGAACUUCAGGAGGGGAAGCAAGCGGACUAGGACACAAAAAUCUUUGGAGGCAUUUAGGACUUGGGUGUGCACACAGGGUGUGGGUCCAGUAUUUUACAUGCCCACCAGAGUCCCGAUUCUGGGACCAGGUAAUUUUGACUUCCUGGCUGUUGGACGGUUCGGUUACAGAGACCUGACUUGGAGGAUGGAGGGGUUCGUAGGCAUAGACCCUGGUCGGAAACUUGGAUGAGUGUUAACCUAUGGUCCACCUCCCAGCCGCAGUUAGGGCUGGUGGUGGUGUUAAUAAAGUUUCCCAUCGUGGCAAUCCCUUCAUAAUAGGGAGGUAUAGAUGCUAGGCAUAGCCAACAAGAGGUAGUAAGGUUUGGCUGGGUAUUGUUGAGGGCCGAAAAAGCCCCUUGAACCAAGCUGAAGAGUCUCUGUUCCGUCAAAGGAGGCAUGGGAUGAGACUGGGGGAAGUUGGGGUUUUGGGGCUUUAGGCGGCCCUUGUUCUGACAACACAUCAUUAGGUCCUAUGGGAGCCGUUAGGGGACUGGUUAUCUUGAGUCUAAUUUGGAAUGAAAGUCCCUUAUCUCUCCCUGGCAUGUAGAAUCUUAGUCCCCAGGUUCGUCCCUCGACCCAUCGUUGAACUGUUUUCCCAGAUUUGUGAAAGUUAUAUUAAGGGUGUUUGAAGUCUGGUUUUCCCUCCCAACAGUAAUUAAGUCCCAGCUUGACGAGGGGUGCCAUGGAACCUCUCAUGUGGUCACACAACCCCAUUGUUUGCAAAAGAAGUCCCCGAGCCCCCACAUCUAUGCACCUCUGACCUUGAUCUGCUGUCCCUAGGGCAGACAUAGAAUGGAGUUACUUGUAGGGCUUUUCGGGUACCUGGGUACUUGCAGCUGGGGUAGGCUCUGACACCUGGCCUGGUAGAGGGCCAGGGGCAGGAGUUGAACCCAGUCUCUAGUGCUAGUCUCCAAUGCUAAUUUAGUCAAGGUCUCCUUAAUUGUUCUAUUUAUUCUUUCUACCUGACCUGAACUUUGUGGUCUAUAAGCACAAUGUAAUUUCUAAUCAAACCCCAGUAACUUGGCCACCAACUGACUUACCUGGGAGACAAAAGCCGGCCCAUUAUCAGACCUGAUUACCUUGGGUAGGCUGAAUCGAGGGAAGAUUUCUUCUAGAAUCUUCUUAACUACCACCUGUUUCUCUCUUGGUAGGGAAGGCCUCAACCCAUCCUGAGAAGGUAUCUAUGAAAACUAGCAGGUAUUUGUUACCGUACAGGCCAGGUUUAACUUCUGUAAAGUCCACUUCCCAAUAGACACCGGAGCGGUGUCCUCUGGUCCUGGAUCCUUCUGGAAGUUUUAGUCUUCCUGCAUUGACUUUUGCACAAGGAACACAUUGAUCAAUAACCUGCUGAAUGAGAUUCUGCACAUGUGUUAAGAGCGUCUGGAGAAGCUGUUGACAAUCAUCCCAAGUGAGCUGAUGAGUCAUUAGAAUGGACUCAGUGAGCCUGAAAAGUAAUAUCUAAGCAUUGCAGAAAAGCAGACAAUGGUUGAAACAAGGGAAGAUAUCUGUUAGGAAGUGAUGUUCACAUCUCUCCAGGUAAUGGUCCUUUAUGGCUUUUGCCCUUCCAAUGUCUUUCUGAAUAGAGAUUCAUUUAUUUAGGUCAUAUCAUAUAGUUAUAUAGAUCCAUAAACAUUAUUUUAAAGAAAGUUUUCAUUAUAUAUACAAACCCCAGUUUCCCCUCUCUCCCCUUGCACACAGUGACACACUUCCUCCAACAAGGCCAUACGCACUCCAACUUCAACAAAGCCACACCUCCUAACAGUGACACUCCCUGUGAAAUUUUGGGGGCUAAUUGUGUUCAAAUUACCACAUUACUAGCCACCAGAAGUUUGUAGCAACAUCAUAAUGCAAAAUGCAUUUAGUCCAACUCUAAAAGUCCCCAUAGUGUAUCACAGUGGCUCAACAAUGUUUAAAGUCCAAAGUUGCUUCUGAGAUUCAUACAAUCUCUUAAGUGUAAGCACCUGUAAAAAUCAAAAUCAAAAGGCAGAUCACAUAAUGGCACAGGAUAUACAUUACUUUUCCAAAACAUAGGGAAGGGAGCAUCAUGAGGAAAUACUGCACCAAAGCAAGACCAAACACCAAGUGGGCAACUCCAAACUGUACAUCUCCCUGUGUGAUGUCAGAACACUCUUCAGAUCUCCAACUCUCUUCAGCUUUGUUAACUGCAAUGCACUGCUCUCUCUUGGGCUGGUUGCACUCCCUGUUGCAGUUCUCCUUGGCAGGUGUCCCUUGACUCUGGCAUCUCUAACACUGGGUUCUCCAGGGCAAUCCAGACUUUACCUUCAUAGCUUGACACAAUGGUCUCUGUACUAGGCCUGCAUUCAGGAUCACCCCGACACAAGCCUGGCCUCAUUGCCUUUAUUCCGUAACUCCUUUCUUCUGUUCUAGAACUCACUGUGUAGUCUAGCUGGCCUCAAAGGGAUUUUCUUGCUGGUAUUAACAGGGUCACUAUUGGGCUUCAAGUCCAGUUCUUAUCUAAGAGAUAGGGAAACUGACAAAGGAGCUUGUGCUGAGGCCAAAUGAGUCAGGAUCAGAAGUCCAGUAUUUCUUCACUUGGAUGCCAGUCAUCUUUACUCUUUCCUGUUACAAACACAUGGGUACACUUCAUGUAUACACAUACACACAUGCUGAGUCACUCAAAGUUGUCAGAUUUGUCUAGGAAAUAAAGACUCAAAAGGCACUACACAACUCCAAGAGGAAUCAGUGCCUGAGAAGUUGGCCUCUAGAAUAAAGAAAGUUAGAAAUAAGCAAGAAGCUAUUUUCUUUCCCUUGGAAUGAUAGCUGUUAAAGUGAAGGACCAAGAAUGUAGAUCAUAUUAAGACAGCAAUGAUAGGGCUUAUCAAGUAUUUAACAGUGGUAAUAAUUUCUGCAUCUAAUAAAUUUAAAAUUAUGAGCACAUUUAAAUUACCAGUAAUGUAUACUGCAUUGGGAUUUUGUUAAUCUUUUUUUUUUUUUUUUUUGAGAUAGGGUCUAAAACAGCCAAAACUGACUUCAAACUCACUAUGCACCAGCAGAUGACUGUAGUGCUUUGAAUAAAAAUGGCCCCACAGGCUUAUGUUUGAAUAUUUAGUGGUCAGUUGGUGGAUCUCCUUGGGAAGGAUUAGGAGGUAUGGCCUGUCAGUGAGGGUGGGUGUGAUGGUAUGAAUGAGAAUAGUCUCCAUCGCUCAUAUAUUGGAAUGCUUACUCACCAGUUGGUAGACUGGCUGAAAAUUAGCCUUGUUGGAGGUGUUUUGCCCCUGGGGAUGGAUGGUCUUUGAGGUGUCAAAAGCCCAUGCCAGGCCAAGUCUAUACCCCACCCCCUGGCCCAGGUUAUUGCCUGAGGACAAGGAUGUAAAACUCAGCUACUUCUUCAGCACCAUGCCUGCCUGCAGGCUGUCAUUGUCUUCACAUGUUGAUGAUUGUCUAAGCCGCUGAAGCUGUAAAGAAGCCCCAGUUAAAUGCUUCCCUUUAUAGGAGAUGCCUUGGUUAUGGUGUAUCUUCACAGGAGUAAACAGUCACUAAGAUAUGAGCCUCUGAGAUUCCAAAAGACCUGUGCUAUGCUCAGCUCUUCCUGCCUCCUACAGAUUUUCCUGCUGCCAUGCUUUUCUUCCACCACAUUGGACUUUAUCCCUCUGAAGCUGCAAACCCAAUUAAACACUUUCUUCUAUAA
This is a long non-coding RNA of Mesocricetus auratus (golden hamster), 4388 nucleotides long. RefSeq lists it as uncharacterized. The record is from RefSeq and is a predicted model, not a curated record. The transcript has 3 exons. NCBI's taxonomy places the organism in Eukaryota, Metazoa, Chordata, Mammalia, Rodentia, Cricetidae.